UUAUACUGUGGGGGACGAAAGUCUCUGCUUUUAACUAGAUAGCAACUUUCAGCAGUGGAUGUCUAGGCUCGCACAUCGAUGAAGAACGCUGCGAACUGCGAUACGUAAUGCGAAUUGCAGGAUUCAGUGAGUCAUCGAAAUUUUGAACGCAUAUUGCACUUCCGGGUUAGUCCUGGGAGUAUGCCUGUAUCAGUGUCCGUACAUCAAACUUGGCUCCCUUCCUUCCGUGUAGUCGGUGGAUGGGGAUGCGCAGACGUGAAGUGUCUUGCGACUGGGCUUCGGCUCGGCUGCGAGUCCUUUGAAAUGUACAGAACUGUACUUCUCUUUGCUCGAAAAGCGUUAUAUUACUGGUUGUGGAGGCGUGCUUGUACUGGCAAGUCGGCGACCGGUUUGUUAGCUGCGGCGUUUAAUGGGGGAGUGUUCGAUUCGCGGUAUGAUCGGCUUCGGCUGGACAGACGCUUAUUGGAUGCUUUUCCUGCUGUGGCGGUACGAACUGGUGAACCGUAGCUGUAUUUAAGCUUGGCAUUUGAACCGGCGAUGUGGUGCGAAGUAGAGUGGCGGUUGUUCCGGCGCAAGCUGGAGUGGCUGUCGAGGGUCGAUCCAUUUGGGAAAUUUGUGUCAGUGCGACUUCGGUUGCGCUGGCAUCUCAAUUGGACCUGAUAUCAGGCAAGAUUACCCGCUGAACUUAAGCAUAUCAAAA
This 700-nucleotide ribosomal RNA is filed under the name Phytophthora austrocedri. RNAcentral's name for it is "eukaryotic LSU rRNA". The stretch from base 44 to 198 matches the Rfam family "5.8S ribosomal RNA". The record is from RNAcentral. Lineage: Eukaryota; Oomycota; Peronosporomycetes; Peronosporales; Peronosporaceae.